AAAAAAAAAAAACCUAAAAUAUUUAAAAGUGCUUUAUUUUAAAAGUUUCCAAAUGGAACACAAAAUUAUUUGAAGUGUCCUUUAAAGUUAUUGCUAAAAUCAGCUAAACCUACAAGUAGAAUUGAACUUACAAGUUAAACUCAAAAACUUAAUGAUAAAGUAAGAAUUUGAAUUGGUAACUUAAAGAAACCCAACAUUAAUUUUGGAAAUAAAAGAGAAUAUCUAAAAAGUAUUUUGUGUCUAUGAAAGUCACCCUUCUAGUCAGCUGAAAUUGCUCAAUUGGGAGAGCAUUAGACUAAAAUGUCACCCUUAAGUUCAACAAAAAGAUAAAAUACAAUUCAGAAGGCAAAAGUAGUAAGAAUAAAGGCAAAGAGUUACAAAAUAGCCUGACAUCUUCAAAAAACUGGGGUGUAGAAUGCAUGUGGGGAGAAAUAGUAAAUCAGUUAGAGAAGGUGGUGGAAGGUAGACAAGAAAGAAAUCUUAUGCUAAGCGCUUUCGAAAUUCCUCACAAUCAAUAGGACGUCUGAUUCAAUGUUGAUAGAAAUAUUGGGUGAGCAUCGUUGUGUUGUUCUUCAAGGGGGAAACAUGCUGUCUUUCACUGGUAAGUGUAAUGGUUGGUAGUUGAAAUUUUUCAUCAAUGCCCUUUUUCAGGUUGAUAAGUUUCUAUUUCUACUGAGAUUUUUAUCAUGAAUGAAUGUAGAAUAUAGUAGAAUUUUUUGAGCGUAUCGAGAAGAUCAAUAACUUUUUUCUUUUUCAUCUGUCGAUAUAGUCUAUUACACUGAUUGAUUUUCAAAUGUGGAACCAAUCUUGUAUUCUGAGGAUAAAACCCACAUGGCUCUGGUGUAUAAUUCCUUUUAUGUUUUGCUGAAUUCAAUUUACUAAUAUUUUGCUAAGAGUUUAUCUGCCUAUGUUCAUGAGAGAAAUAUUGUUUUCAGUUUUCUUAUAAUGCCUUGGUACAGCUUUUAUAUUAGGACAAUGCUGGCCUCAUGAAAUAAGUUGGGAAGUAUACAUAUAUCUUCUAUUUUCUGGAAGAGUUCGAAUAAAAUAAGUAUUAAUUCUUCUUUAAAUGAUGGGAAGAAUUCAUCGAGGGAAUCACCUAGACUUGGAAUUCUCUGAUAUUUUUACCCAUAAAUUUAAUUUAUUCAACAGACAAAAUGUUAUUCUGCUCCUCUAUUUUUCUUUCUUGAGUGAGCACUGGCAGUUUGUGUUUUUAAGAGAUUUAUUCAUUUCAUCAAUACUUCCAAAUGUGUUGGCAUAACGUUGGUGGUAGUCUUUCCUCAUCCUGUUGUAGCACUUACUGUGAUGUCCCCUUUCUCUCUUCUGACAUUGGUCAUUUUUAAUUUCUUUUUUUUCUGUUUUCUUUGAAAGAGCCAUCUUGGAUUUUAGUGGUUUGUCUGUAUUUAUUUUUCUGUUUUAAUUAUUUUUCCAUGUUUUUUUUUUCUUCCAAUUGCUUUGUGUUUAAUUUGCCCUUAUUCUGUUUUCCUAGGGUGGAAGCUUAGUUCAUUGACUUCAAAAUUUAUUGUUUUUUUCAACUAUAAGUAUUUAAUGCUAAGAAUUUCUCUCUAAAUACUAAAUACUGCUUUACCUGUACCCCACAAAUAUUGGUAUGGUAUGUUUUUAUUUCCAUUUAAUUCAAAAUAAUUUCUAAUUACUUGGUGCUAUGGUCACUGGAGGUUGGUAAGAAUUUUUGUUCUCUGCCCCAGCCUCAGUACUAGAAAGAUUCCAUGUCUCUGGGCCUUAAAAGUAGGGCUUUCUCAGCAUUUCUGCUGCCACUUUAUUAGAGGUUGAAUUGUGUCCCGCUCAGAAUUGGUACUGGUAACCCCUAGCAUCGCAGAAUGAAACCUUAAUUGGAAAUAAGGUCAUUGCAGAUGUAAUUAGUUGAGAAGAGGCUAUUAGGGUGGGCCCUAAUUCAAUGUAACUGAUACUCUUAUCCUCCUAUCAGAAGUAUUUGUUUUUUGCCUGGGUCCCUGUGGCUUGAGUGUUUCCUGUACUCUCCCAAAAACCAACAGUUUGAGAAGGGUGCCUUGUAUGACAGAAGAGGCCUGGGCAGUGGGCGAGGCUUUAUGCCCCACCCCAGCAGCAGCUGAUUUCCACCCGCUCACCUGCACCACUGAGGGGGAACUCUCUUCAGUCUCCUGCCCUGCCUGCAAUCCCUUCAUCUUUCAUAGGAGCUUUAUUUUUUAGGUGGGGCUUGUGAAAAAGAGCUUGCCAGUGCCUAUAAACUUCUUCAUGUGAGAGUUUCCAGUCUUUCUUAACUGAUAUGAUAACCCACAUUCAGCCUUUAAGAAUUAUUUUAACAUUUGAGCAGAUUUCUUUCUUAUCUGAGUCUAUGGCACCAGCCACUUCCUCCCAUGUUCCAUCAAAGGUAAGGAGUUUGUUUGUCCGUCUUCGCUCCUCAGAGGAGCUGACCCUUUGGAAUUCUGCCCAUUUUGUUGCUUUCAAAUCUCAGGUCCCGGUGGGCUCAAGAAAAGCAAUCAUUUUGUGCAUGAUCUGGCUUCUAUCUUAUUGUUGAGGUGGAAACAAUGGUAAUAUGGGUGUGUGUAUUUCUACCUUCUAGGUAGAAAUUGAACAAAAGCAUUCUUUGCUAUUAUACCUGGGUUGUUCUUCACUGUUCCCUGGGAAUCUGUUACGGAAAUUAUGCUGAGCUAAUAAUUCUGAUGGGAUGAUCUUCACUCAUGCAGACUGUGGCGUCAUGUAGAAGGAAGGCUAAUAUGGAUGUGAGGUUCAAGAUCAAGAUGGGCAACUGAUGGUCAGACUCCAGUGGUUCUUCAAAACUUUCUAGGAGGUAAACAAGAUGAAAGGGAAAGCACACAAAUUUGCUGGAAUUUGGAAAACACGAACCCUGGAAUUUGGAGGAGUCACUUCCACUGGAAAAUACUUUUAUAUUAUUUAUAGUGGCUACCAUUACCGUGCUCACUUUACAGGUGAGGUUCAGAGAUUUAUGUAACAUGCCAAAGGUCACACAGCUGGACACAGCAGAACCAAGAUUCAAAUCUGCACAGCUGAGUGUUCUACAUGUUUAUGUCGUAUGGCCCCUGAAAGAAUUCGUAUUUGAAGCUCUGGGUAAGUGGUUAGGAAAGGACC
This 3084-nucleotide long non-coding RNA is filed under the name Homo sapiens (human). Its description in RNAcentral is "HSALNT0378471". The record is from RNAcentral. Lineage: Eukaryota; Metazoa; Chordata; Mammalia; Primates; Hominidae.